CGGACGGGUGAGUAAUGUCUGGGAAACUGCCCGAUGGGAGGGGGUAACUACUGGAAACGGUAGCUAAUACCGCAUAACGUCGCAAGACCAAAGGAGGGGACCUUAGGGCCUCUUGCCAUCGGAUGUGCCCAGAUGGGAUUAGCUAGUAGGUGGGGUAACGGCUCACCUAGGCGACGAUCCCUAGCUGGUCUGAGAGGAUGACCAGCCACACUGGAACUGAGACACGGUCCAG
RNAcentral lists this ribosomal RNA (232 nucleotides) under uncultured bacterium. RNAcentral describes it as "partial 16S ribosomal RNA". It matches the Rfam family "Bacterial small subunit ribosomal RNA", at positions 99 to 334 of the family's 1533-position model. The record is from RNAcentral.